ACUUUAUUUGAUUUCCUUCGGGACUGAUUAUUUGUGACUGAGUGGCGGACGGGUGAGUAACGCGUGGGUAACCUGCCUUGUACAGGGGGAUAACAGUUGGAAACGACUGCUAAUACCGCAUAAGCCCACGGCCCGGCAUCGGGCUGAGGGAAAAGGAUUUAUUCGCUUCAGGAUGGACUCGCGUCCAAUUAGCUAGUUGGUGAGGUAACGGCCCACCAAGGCGACGAUCAGUAGCCGGACUGAGAGGUUGAACGGCCACAUUGGGACUGAGAUACGGCCCAGACUCC
This 287-nucleotide ribosomal RNA is filed under the name uncultured Subdoligranulum sp. Its description in RNAcentral is "partial 16S ribosomal RNA". The stretch from base 47 to 287 matches the Rfam family "Bacterial small subunit ribosomal RNA", at positions 100 to 339 of the family's 1533-position model. The record is from RNAcentral. Lineage: Bacteria; Bacillati; Bacillota; Clostridia; Eubacteriales; Oscillospiraceae.